Molecule: long non-coding RNA, 394 nt
Filed under: Ananas comosus (pineapple)
Lineage: Eukaryota; Viridiplantae; Streptophyta; Magnoliopsida; Poales; Bromeliaceae
Description: long non-coding RNA (ACOM_LNC025120)
Source: RNAcentral
UUCGAAAUUCUUGAUUAAAUUUUAAUUUUUAAUUUAAGUUCAAAUUAAAAUUUAAAAUUAUAUAUUUAAUUUUUAAAUUUUAAUUCAUAUUUUAAUUAAAAAAGUUAAAAAAAUAAAUUUAAUCCGAAUAAAUAUUCAUUCCGUCUGGAUUCAACUGCCAAUCCGCCUCCUAGGCCGGAUUAAAAAAAGAGGUGAUUGGGAGAUUCCCAUUCCACUCGAGAAUCGGAAUCGGACUGGGACUCCCGCGUACCAAACACUCACAAAUGGAUUCACCCAUUCCGAUUCCGAUUUCAGGAUGGAAAAGAAGCAAACAAAACACGCCCUUAUAGAAAACUAGGUGUUCAUAAUUUAUGAUCUAUAAAAGCCUUAUUACGAAUGUUUUAAGACACAUAUU